This 1442-nucleotide ribosomal RNA is filed under the name uncultured archaeon. RNAcentral describes it as "bacterial SSU rRNA". It matches the Rfam family "Archaeal small subunit ribosomal RNA". The record is from RNAcentral.
CGGUUGAUCCUGCCGGAGGCCACUGCUAUCGGAGUCCGACUAAGCCAUGCGAGUCCAGGUGCUUCGGCACCGGCGGACGGCUCAGUAACACGUGGACAACCUGCCCUCGGGAGGGGGAUAACCCCGGGAAACUGGGAAUAAACCCCCAUAGGUCAUGGAGGCUGGAAGGCGCCAUGACCGAAAUUCCGCAAGGAGCCCGAGGAUGGGUCUGCGGCCUAUCAGGUUGUAGUGGGGGUAACGGCCCCACUAUCCUACGACGGGUACGGGCCCUGAGAGGGGGAGCCCGGAGAUGGACUCUGAGACACGAGUCCAGGCCCUACGGGGCGCACCAGGCGCGAAAACUCCGCAAUGCUCUAAAGAGCGACGGGGGGACUCCGAGUGCCUACGCUUUGCGUAGGCUUUUCCCGAGCCUAAAAAGCUCGGGGAAUAAGGGCUGGGUAAGACGGGUGCCANCCGCCGCGGUAAUACCCGCAGCUCGAGUGGUGGCCGCCUUUAUUGGGCCUAAAGCGUCCGUACCCGGUCUGGUAAAUGCCUGGGUAAAUCGUAGGGCUUAACCCURMGGCUCCCAGGUAGACUGCCAGACUCGGGACCGGAGGAGGGAGAGGGUACUCCAGGGGUAGGRGUGAAAUCCUGUAAUCCYUGRAGGACCACCNGUGGCGAANGCGCUCUCCUAGGACGGGUCCGACGGUGAGGGACGAAAGCCAGGGGAGCAAACCGGAUUAGAUACCCGGGUAGUCCUGGCCGUAAACGAUGUGGACUUGGUAUUGGGAUGGYUACGAGCUGUCCCAGUGUCGUAGGGAAGCGCGUUAAGUCCCACCGCCUGGGGAGUACUGUCGCAAGGCUGAAACUUUAAGGAAUUGGCGGGGGAGCAACGCAACGGGAGGAGCGUGCGGUUUAAUUGGAUUCAAAGCCGGAAAGCUUACCGGGAGAGACUNCCGUAUGUGGGCCNGGGUGAAGACCUUGCCCGAACAAUAGGCAGAGAGGUGGUGCAUGGCCGUCGUCAGCUUGUACCGUAAGGCGUUUUGUUAAGUCAGGUAACGAGCGAGACCCCCGCCCUUAGUUGCCCCCUGUCCCUCCGGGGUCGGAGCACAAUAAGGGGACCGCUGGCGAUAAGCCAGAGGAAGGAGGGGGCAACGGUAGGUCAGUAUGCCCUGAAUCCCCCGGGGUACACGCGCGGUACAAAGGCUGGGACAAUGGGUUGCGACCCCGAAAGGGGAAGCUAAUCCCUAAACCCCGUUGUAGUUUGGAUUGAGGGUUGAAACCCACCCUCGUGAAGGUGGAUUCCGUAGUAAUCGCGGGUCAACAUCCCGCGGUGAAUAUGCCCCUGCUCCUUGCACACACCGCCCGUCAAGCCAAGCGAGUUGGGUUUGGGUGAGGGCUUGCUGUCAUGGCAAGCUCGAACCCAGGCUCAGCGAGCGGGGCUAAGUCGUAACAAGGUAGCC